Molecule: long non-coding RNA, 3562 nt
Filed under: Nicotiana tabacum (common tobacco)
Lineage: Eukaryota; Viridiplantae; Streptophyta; Magnoliopsida; Solanales; Solanaceae
Description: long non-coding RNA (NTAB_LNC012134)
Source: RNAcentral
UGGAAUGUUAGAAAGGAGAAAAAGGUUUGAAAAGAACAAGAAAGGGUGACAGUGUGUCUCCCUAACCCUUAAGAAAGAAGCAAAUGACUUAAAAAGUCAAGAGAAUGUUUGCCAAAAUGAAGCAAAUGAAGUGCUAAAGGAAAGAUGGAACCUACCUAGACCAAAAAUCUCCUAACCUAAACCAAGGGGAUAUGGUUAGGCAAAUAUUUCGAUUUGGGGUUGCAGGUUGAUGGAACUUGUGUAGAGAUUGCAUAAGUAGGAGCUGAGCAAGGGGAUAUGGUUAAGCAAAUAUUUCAAUUUGAGCUAGAAGUAGAGGUUGCAUUUGGAAGAAGGUUGAAAGUGCUUCCCAAAUUAACCAACAAGAUUCUUCGUACCACAUUUGCCUCGAUAUCAUCACCUUCUGCUUGCAACAAUCUCAUACCGGUACUGAAUGCUUCAAAUAUGUCUGCCAUUAUAACCCCGUCGUUUAUGAAGAUUCGCAGCCAAAACAGUGUUCAAUGCUAGGCAACCUUUUAAAGGAAAAAUAAAACUUUACAAACAAAACUAAAGUGUUAGCGUAUUCAUCAUAAUGAAAUAAAAGCAUAAAAAUAAUAGAAUAUAUGAUUAUAUAGAUUAAUCCAUGUUAUGGUUAAGUAUGAGCCUUAAACUAGAAACGAUGGCCUAUGUUGCAAAAUGGAUGGACGAGAAUGACUUGUUAUCUAGACUUGGACAUGAAAUGAUUCUAAAUUUAUUUUUAGCAAUGGCAAAUCAUAAAGUUGUCGAGGCCUGAAAUAUGGUAUCAACCAAUUUGAGACUUACGGGAUAGUACCUCGACUCACAUGCCAAAACUUAGAAUUAACAGGUGCGUGAAGAUUAAUCUCGACGAUCCGAAAUAAGACGAUACAGAAACUUGAAUUGAAUAGGUAAAAAACUUUAGAAUAAUUUGACGAUGCAAAUUGACCAAAAUAGUGGCCUUCUAUUGUUCGGUAGAUUGCGCAAGUUUGGACAUCUACCAAUUUGUAAAUGAGAAUUGGCACGAAGGUUGAAACAUGUAGAAUAUUAAGUAGAUUUUAUGAAACAUAGAGCUAUGAGAAGAAUCAAAAGUAUGAAUAUUCUGUGAGGCACGAGUGGCAAUAUUUGAAAAAUAUGUAACUAUUGUUUAAGAAAAGAAUGUGAAUAAAAUUAACUCAUGGAUUAGAUGGGAAAAAUAUUUUCUAAUUAUGAAAUAUUAUGCCAGUUUUUUUUAAAGAAGUAGGGAUGAUAUCUUGCUACAGGGAGUAAGAUGCUCAUUGUAAAGAAAAUUCUUAAGGCAGGUUUAAGGCACGCAUAUCGAGGAAUUUCAUGACAAACCGAGCUUGUUGAAGAAAAUUUACGGGCAAAACGUCAUGAGUUAUAAAUAAUAGAAGACUGCCCAAAGACUGAAAAGAUAUCUUAAUUAGACUCUAGGAAAUGGAAUGGGCCUAAGAGAAAUUUGAGCUUAAGUAAAUACCCAAAGACUAAGCGAGACGAUUUCAGGNNNNNNNNNNNNNNNNNNNNNNNNNAAAGAUGUAAACAAGUUGGAUAGUUAAUACUUCCUUUUUCUGAAAAACAACAAAUAAUAUUAGUAAAAAUAAUAAAGUCGAGCAAGCAACACAGAGUAAGCAAGUAAGCAAGUAGGCAAGCAAAGCAUGUGACACAUUCCAAAGCAAAUAAUAACGCGUUCUAAUACGUGGGGAGGCCUCUUUGUGCCAGAGGUAGACCUAACAUAAAUUUGAAAGAUAAAUAUGUCAUUAUGUAUCAUUCCAUUGAUGUAAAUUAAUUAAAUAAGUCUAUUUUUCAAAAGAAAAUAAAGUAUAAUAGUAAAGUAUGAUUGCUUAAACCUUUUUUUGUAAUAAAAGAUCAAAAGAAAGUAUAUAUUUUCAUCAUGUCAAAACUUCUCGCUGAUUAUGUCAUUUGAAAACUUUACUACGUAUCAUAGAAAUAAUGACCAUGCUCCUUUACCUAAGAUUUAAUUAAUUUAGAGAAAAUGGUCCACAUAAUUGGCAUGUUAACCCUUCAAAUAAUGCACAUACACGUGAUAAAGUGUCACUUGGGGUUGAAAACUCACUUGGACAUUUAGGUAAGGUUAACUAAUGGUUUUAAUACACUUCGGGUAUUAAAUCACCUAAGGUUAAAAUGAUGCAUGCUUUUAAAAGGGUUUCAGUUUAGCUGUAUCUUAGGCUGACUAAGAAUGGGUUUUGCUAGACUGGUCAUCUCCCAAGUGGACAACUUGAGAGUGGAAAGCCUGUGACUGUCGAUUGCACCGUUGAUCGGCUUACCUACGAACUUUCCCCUAAAAGGUGUUUUAAGUAGUGCACGGCCGCAAACCACGUAACCGCAAAGUGUGUGCUUUGUGUGAAUUUUUCAGAAGUGGAGAAAGUGAAACGGAAUGACAAUUUAUAUAAAGCAAUAAGAACAGAUAUACAAUUCAUAAAAUACAGUUUAUCAUAUAAUGACAAUUCAAAUAAGCAUCAUAACAAUAAAAAACAAACAAAAUAAUUUUAAUUAUUAACCUAAGUUUGUUAUGGUUUAGAACCUAGAAUCCCCAGCGGAGUCGCCAUGUUGUUACACCUAACACGGGUCAAACUAGAGUAUAACAUAUUGGUAAUUCUGAAAGUUUAAUUAAUUAAGAGAGUCACCACCUAAUUAUUUUAACGGUGAAUUAGGACACCAAUUUUAACUAAGUAGUGUUUAAAGUUAAUUCUGUUUUAUAUGAUCUACUUAGUUUUAGAAGUUCUAGGUAAGGGUUCUGGUUAUCUCAAAAGGAAGGGGUAAGGCACCUUUUACGAUCCAUUAUAAAUAGUUAACCGGAUAAACUUAGGUUAAUUAUUAUAAGUAGAAAAUUUAAUAUUUUUAUACAUAGUUGAAAAAUAACAUGUGACUAUUUUAUAUACUAAAAUAUUACUAAAUGCAUAAAACUUGAGUUUGAUAUGCCAAAAAAACGCUACAAAGGCCAUUUUUCAGAAAACCUUAAUUACACUUGAACAUUGUAAGAAGCAAACUUUUUAUGGACAAAUGCUGACAAAGAAAGCUAAGUAUUUCCAAAAUUAAUGUGGAAAAAUAUUUUAGAAAUAAAUAAAUAAAGUCAUUAUCUCAAAUUGUUGAUUUUAAAAGCCCUUAAGACUCAUGUAAUUAAAAUCGGCGGUUUAUUAUUAUCUAAAGUAAAUGCCAUUAAACAAAAUAAGAUUUAGCUACCAAAUCUAAUAUAAGACAAACCCAAAAUAAAUCGACAAUCAUAAAGAAAUUAAAAAAAUGAUAAGAGAAAAGACAAAUAAAAGACGCCAUAGGCGUCCCCAAGCGUUUCGCUUGUUUUCUUGCAAUCCGAUGUAUUUUACGGACAACACGUAAUGUGAUUAAAUGCUUUACCGGUAAAGUAAAGCGAGAGACAGUCGAUCCUUUCUUAGGGUUCCAAGUAAUUCAACCAGUUGGGAAGGGGACAUGAUCAAUAGAACCUGGCUGGAUCCGGGCUGGGAUAGUGCCGCCCAUUCUUAACCAGUUCCGAAAGGGUUCGCUCAUGCUAGGCUCCAUGCUCGGGAUAUGGUGGGAGUCUUGCAUUAAGANNNNN